Molecule: ribosomal RNA, 480 nt
Filed under: uncultured bacterium
Lineage: Bacteria
Description: bacterial SSU rRNA
Rfam family: Bacterial small subunit ribosomal RNA
Source: RNAcentral
UUGAACGCUGGCGGUAUGCUUUACACAUGCAAGUCGAACGGGCUAUGGGGCUUGCUCCAUAGUUAGUGGCGAACGGGUGAGUAAUAUAUCGGAACAUAUCCGGAAGUGGGGGAUAACACAUCGAAAGAUGUGCUAAUACCGCAUACGACCUGAGGGUGAAAGCGGGGGAUCGCAAGACCUCGCGCGCCAGGAGCGGCCGAUAUCGGAUUAGCUAGUUGGUGAGGUAAAGGCUCACCAAGGCGACGAUCCGUAGCUGGUCUGAGAGGACGACCAGCCACACUGGAAGUGAGACACGGUCCAGACUCCUACGGGAGGCAGCAGUGGGGAAUUUUGGACAAUGGGGGCAACCCUGAUCCAGCCAUUCCGCGUGAGUGAAGAAGGCCUUCGGGGUGUAAAACUCUUUCGGCAGGAACGAAACGGUGAGCUCUAACAUAGCUUGCUAAUGACGGUACCUGAAGAAGAAGCACCGGCUAACUACGU